RNAcentral lists this long non-coding RNA (258 nucleotides) under Phaseolus vulgaris (common bean). RNAcentral describes it as "long non-coding RNA (PVUL_LNC000346)". The record is from RNAcentral. Lineage: Eukaryota; Viridiplantae; Streptophyta; Magnoliopsida; Fabales; Fabaceae.
AUAUCUGCUAUUAAAGCUAUAAUCUCUGCAGACUCAGAGCUACAACAAUUAAAAUAGAAUUUCUAUGCACCUAGCAUUAUAAUGGAUAAUAACAUUAUUUCCAAUUUAAUGUCGUUGCAUUAGGUGUCAUUUGCAGAUUCUACUAUUUUUAUGGUUUCAUCUGAGCUUGGAUGCAUCUCAGUAUAAUAAAGAUGGUACAUGAAUGAUGACACACAUUUGAGUGAUCUUUUGUUUUCAAUACAUUCUCAAAUUUUAUUU